This 429-nucleotide ribosomal RNA is filed under the name Actinomycetes bacterium. RNAcentral describes it as "Actinobacteria bacterium partial 16S ribosomal RNA". It matches the Rfam family "Bacterial small subunit ribosomal RNA", at positions 355 to 776 of the family's 1533-position model. The record is from RNAcentral. Lineage: Bacteria; Bacillati; Actinomycetota; Actinomycetes.
UAGGGAAUCUUCCGCAAUGGGCGAAAGCUUGACGGAGCAACGCCGCGUGAGUGAUGAAGGUCUUCGGUUCGUAAAACUCUGUUAUUAGGGAAGAACAAAUGUGUAAGUAACUAUGCACGUCUUGACGGUACCUAAUCAGAAAGCCACGGCUAACUACGUGCCAGCAGCCGCGGUAAUACGUAGGUGGCAAGCGUUAUCCGGAAUUAUUGGGCGUAAAGCGCGCGUAGGCGGUUUUUUAAGUCUGAUGUGAAAGCCCACGGCUCAACCGUGGAGGGUCAUUGGAAACUGGAAAACUUGAGUGCAGAAGAGGAAAGUGGAAUUCCAUGUGUAGCGGUGAAAUGCGCAGAGAUAUGGAGGAACACCAGUGGCGAAGGCGACUUUCUGGUCUGUAACUGACGCUGAUGUGCGAAAGCGUGGGGAUCAAACAGG